UUGGAGGGCAAGUCUGGUGCCAGCAGCCGCGGUAAUUCCAGCUCCAAUAGCGUAUAUUAAAGUUGUUGCAGUUAAAAAGCUCGUAGUUGAAUUUCAGGCCUGGCUGGACGGUCCGCCCUUCGGGUGAGUACUGUCUGUGGUCGGGUCCUACCUUCUGGCGAAGCGUCAUGGCCUUAACCGGCCGUGGCGGGGAACCAGGACUUUUACUGUGAAAAAAUUAGAGUGUUCAAAGCAGGCAUAUGCUCGAAUACAUUAGCAUGGAAUAAUAGAAUAGGACGUGUGGUUCUAUUUUGUUGGUUUCUAGGACCGCCGUAAUGAUUAAUAGGGAUAGUCGGGGGCAUCAGUAUUCAAUUGUCAGAGGUGAAAUUCUUGGAUUUAUUGAAGACUAACUACUGCGAAAGCAUUUGCCAAGGAUGUUUUCAUUAAUCAGUGAACGAAAGUUAGGGGAUCGAAGACGAUCAGAUACCGUCGUAGUCUUAACCAUAAACUAUGCCGACUAGGAAUCGGGCGAUGUUGAAAAAAUGACGCGCUCGGCACCUUACGGGAAACCAAAG
RNAcentral lists this ribosomal RNA (554 nucleotides) under uncultured Paraglomus. Its description in RNAcentral is "SSU rRNA". It matches the Rfam family "Eukaryotic small subunit ribosomal RNA", at positions 548 to 1103 of the family's 1831-position model. Lineage: Eukaryota; Fungi; Glomeromycota; Glomeromycetes; Paraglomerales; Paraglomeraceae. The record is from RNAcentral.